UGUCUAUAUGUAAUAUAAGAGAAACAGAACCAAAUCUAUGCUCCAAGUCUCCAAUUAAUAAGAACUAAACUAUUUCAAAAUGAAAAAACCGUUUGCAAAUGCACAUCUCAAUCUUAAGCACAUAUUAUCACAAUACGCAUUUAAAAAAAGCAUAUCACAAUACUCAUCUAACAACAAUGAAACAAAAAAUUAAAAGGAAACAAAAAAAAAAAGAUAGAUAAAGUGCUGCUGCUGGAUCAAAAAAUGGUGGGACUGGGAGAGAAGAAAGAAUAGAAGAGGAGAGAAGGAGAAGAGAAGAGAUG
Molecule: unclassified non-coding RNA, 302 nt
Filed under: Hevea brasiliensis (rubber tree)
Lineage: Eukaryota; Viridiplantae; Streptophyta; Magnoliopsida; Malpighiales; Euphorbiaceae
Source: RNAcentral